Molecule: ribosomal RNA, 497 nt
Filed under: uncultured bacterium
Lineage: Bacteria
Description: partial 16S ribosomal RNA
Rfam family: Bacterial small subunit ribosomal RNA
Source: RNAcentral
GAUGAACGCUGGCGGCGUGCCUAAUACAUGCAAGUCGAGCGAACAGACGAGGAGCUUGCUCCUCUGACGUUAGCGGCGGACGGGUGAGUAACACGUGGAUAACCUACCUAUAAGACUGGGAUAACUUCGGGAAACCGGAGCUAAUACCGGAUAAUAUAUUGAACCGCAUGGUUCAAUAGUGAAAGACGGUUUUGCUUUCACUUAUAGAUGGAUCCGCGCCGCAUUAGCUAGUUGGUAAGGUAACGGCUUAGCAAGGCAACGAUGCGUAGCCGACCUGAGAGGGUGGUCGGACACACUGGAACUGAGACACGGCCCAGACUCCUACGGGGGGCAGCAGUAGGGAAUCUUACGCAAUGGGCGAAAGCUUGACGGAGCAACGCCGCGUGAGUGAUGAAGGUCUUCGGAUCGUAAAACUCUGUUAUUAGGGAAGAACAAAUGUGUAAGUAACUAUGCACGUCUUGACGGUACCUAAUCAGAAAGCCACGGCUAACUACGUG